AUCCAGAUGACGAGUCCCAAAUAGGACGAAAUGCGCGUCCUGAAU
This 45-nucleotide non-coding RNA is filed under the name Schistosoma mansoni. The record is from RNAcentral. Lineage: Eukaryota; Metazoa; Platyhelminthes; Trematoda; Strigeidida; Schistosomatidae.